GCCAGGUGUGGUGGCACACACCUGUAUUCCCAGCUACUUGGGAGGCUGAGGUGGGAGGAUCACUUGAGCCCAGGAGGUGCAGGCUGAAGUGAGUGGUGAUGGUGCCACUGCACUCCAGCCUGGGUGACAGAGUGAGACCCCGUCUCAC
RNAcentral lists this non-coding RNA (148 nucleotides) under Theropithecus gelada (gelada). The record is from Rfam by way of RNAcentral. Lineage: Eukaryota; Metazoa; Chordata; Mammalia; Primates; Cercopithecidae.